ACAUCGGUAGCACAGUGGUUAAUGCAGUCUGCCGGAAACUGAAAGAUGCGGGUUCAAUUCCCGUCCGAUGUC
Non-coding RNA from Nippostrongylus brasiliensis, 72 nucleotides. Lineage: Eukaryota; Metazoa; Nematoda; Chromadorea; Rhabditida; Heligmosomidae. The record is from Rfam.